GACGAACGCUGGCGGCGUGCUUAACACAUGCAAGUCGAACGGAAAGGCCCUGCUUUUGUGGGGUGCUCGAGUGGCGAACGGGUGAGUAACACGUGAGUAACCUGCCCUUGACUUUGGGAUAACUUCAGGAAACUGGGGCUAAUACCGGAUAGGAGCUCCUGAUGCAUGGUGGGGGUUGGAAAGUUUCGGCGGUUGGGGAUGGACUCGCGGCUUAUCAGCUUGUUGGUGGGGUAGUGGCUUACCAAGGCUUUGACGGGUAGCCGGCCUGAGAGGGUGACCAGCCACAUUGGGACUGAGAUACGGCCCAGACUCCUACGGGAGGCAGCAGUGGGGAAUAUUGCACAAUGGGCGGAAGCCUGAUGCAGCAACGCCGCGUGCGGGAUGACGGCCUUCGGGUUGUAAACCGCUUUCGCCUGUGACGAAGCGUGAGUGACGGUAAUGGGUAAAUAAGCACCGGCUAACUACGUG
Molecule: ribosomal RNA, 468 nt
Filed under: uncultured bacterium
Lineage: Bacteria
Description: partial 16S ribosomal RNA
Rfam family: Bacterial small subunit ribosomal RNA
Source: RNAcentral